Rattus norvegicus (Norway rat) is the source of this 2798-nucleotide non-coding RNA. NCBI's taxonomy places the organism in Eukaryota, Metazoa, Chordata, Mammalia, Rodentia, Muridae. The record is from RefSeq and is a predicted model, not a curated record.
GCGGCGGGGCUCCUCCUAGAGGAAAAUAUUGGUAGUUGCGGGAGACCUCCCUCCUCUCCACCCACCGGGUUCCCCCAAAGAAGUAUCUAGAAGUCCUCAACUUCUGUACAUUCAAAGAGAGCAGUGCACCUCCUGCAGGUAUGGGAAGAAGUCCCUUGGAAAGUGUGAUGAGUCUACUAGAUUUUACCGGUCUAGUUGGUUUUCAAGCUCCUGCUCACUGGGAUUCAGCAUAAAGGACAUUCCCAGUCCGAGAGGUUAAAAAAAAAUGAAGACAAAGCAGGUGAUUUACCAAGAAUGCAUUCCUGUUUGAAGAGAGCUAUGCUAAUACGGGACAUAGGUCUGCAGGGAGGGCAGGAAUAGGACCCAGCCUGAGGUUCGUCCUUGUUUGUGACCUAGGGAAAGGCACCAUUUGUCCAUCAGACACAGGCUCUUGGUACUUCAUUCCAUUUUGUUGAAAAAAAUUAACCAAGACGGGAGUUGUCAAAGCACUUCCCAAAGUCAGAGUGCUGUGUAAGUAUUGGCGUGAAGCACCAGACUGCCAACAACCACUUGCUUCUCCAGGCACAGAGUACAAAGGUACAAAAGUCCAGCCCCGGGCCGUCGAGCUGUCUCAUCUGGAGGAACAACGGGUCACGUGGUCUUCUUACUAUUUGCUUUGUACUGACAGCUAGUUGUAAGUUCACUUAUCUAUAACCUUCCGAACAGCUUCCCUCAGCUUUAAAAAGGACCCCAUCCCCUCUUUUCACUUGCUUUCAGACCCAGAGUCACAGUUAAAUGUUUAAGCACUGCAAAAGAAUAAAUUAACAGUUCCACACUAAGGAUGGGCGGGGUGAAAACUGUAGAAAGAGGACCCCAGUCUUUAGGACUUCCGUUUUCAAAGUAACCGUGCAAUUGGAAACUUUCUUAGCAUUCUUUCUCGUGAGCCCAGCUGUGUCUUAUGGUUCUAGAAUACAGAAAGGGGGAAGAGAUUCUGGAGAUGAUUAUGUAUCAUGUCUGUUCCAGUUAGGUGUAGAGGGUGGGAUGGUUAGUGGCCCUGAAGCAGUCCUGUUUCACAGGCAGGCUUUCUCUGAGACACUCUCCCUCAAUCCCUUGAUUUUCAUGCUCGGAUGAAGCAGUAGAGGUGCUUACUGACUGGAGCUUUUAAAGGGAGAGUUGCCCAGAUAGAGAAACCUGAGAAAGGAAACCAUGAGGUCAGGCAAAACUCCUGCUGGGUGGUCUGUGCUUGCCAAACUGGCUGAAAGGGCAGUACUGACAGGCGUGGAGACCAGGCAGUCCUCGCAUGCUGGCUCCACUCUGUCCGAGGUAACCUUCCACCAGUGCACCUUGGAUUCUGACGGAAUCAUCCCAUCUCCUUACGUCCCCUUUGUGCUCCCUCCUCUUCAACUUCCCCUCCUUCCGAGCCCAAAGAACCUUGAUUUAGGCUCCUAGUUUAGUUCCUUGAUCUAGAACCUAGUCUAGGAGACAGACUCAUGGGAGAUGUUCUGAUCAUGCUCCAAGCUGAUUUCAGGGUCAUGCUUAAACAAAAGCUUGCCCUUAUGUUGCUCUGGCUUCAAAUACAGCCUCCGUUCCGUUAGACAUGGAAACAGAUUUCUCUAGACAGAAAUGCGAUCACGCAUAGACAGCGUAUGAAAAGAUACGCUGGCUUGUGUGUGUAAUAAAGAAAUAGGUUGCGAUGUAACUUGGCAGGGUCUAGUAUGGCCCAGGAGACAAAUCUCUGGGCAUUUUGUGAGAGACAUCCUAGUUUGAGCUGAGUAAGGUGGACAGCACCAUUGUAAGGCUGAGAGCUUGGGCUGAAAAACAAAACAAAACAAAACAAAACAAAACAAAAAAACAAGAGAGAGAGAGAGAGAGAGAGAGAGAGAGAGAGAGAGAGAGAGAAGCUCAACAAUGGUGUUUUUUUCUCUCUGCUUCCUGACUGUGGACACAUCUGUUCAGCUGCUCUGCUCUUCUGCAGCCUGUCCUCCCCACCAUGAUGAACAAAUCCUCUUCAAUUCCAAGUCAAAAUAAAUGAGAGAUGGAGAGAUGUUUCAGCGACUAAGGUAGUUACUGUGCAAGCCCUAGGACCUGGGUCCACAGCACCCAAAAACAAUAGUGAAGAGAGCUUGGUGGCUUGCAGGUGCACAGUCAGCACCCGGGAGGCAAAGACAGGCAGCAACCUGGAGCUCACUGGUCAGUCAUGGUAAUUAGAGACUCCUAGAUCCCUUUGGGAGGCACUGUCUCAAAAUAACUGAGAAGAUGAAGAGAGGACAUCUGGGCAAAGACAUCUGAGGUCGACCUCUGGCCUUCGCAAACAUGAGCAUAAGAUCUGUGACAAAGAUGAAAUUAUCCUCCUUUAACCAACAGGAAGUCAUGAAGAGACACAAAAACAAACACAGCAACAACAACAACAACAACAAAAACCAGACUGAUCACAUAAAGGGAAAAAAUUUAGAGUCCGGAUGGGGACUCAGCUUUUUUGUAUCACCUUUAUUUUGGGGACUCUUCCUUCAGUCUCUCAAGGUCUUGGCAUCUAGUAUUGUGUCCACCUCAUUUCAAGCCACCAGCCCACCAGCCUCUAUGUGUGGCAAGAACUAAAAUUGUCCUCUAAUUCCUAGGCACCAAAGUAACUAACAGUAGUGACCAGGGGGGACAGGAGAGAUUCCUCUAUUUUGCCUUUAGUAGUACAGGUCUUGUGCAGGCAACCCACACAGGUACAGACAGAAACUAAUUAUCAUAGUCUCCAUAUUUGUUAAGUUUGAGCUAGUGAGUUGUGGAGAAUGUGUUUCAUCAUCUUGCUUUGAGAAAUAAACAUUCAUAAU